Ictalurus punctatus (channel catfish) is the source of this 496-nucleotide long non-coding RNA. Lineage: Eukaryota; Metazoa; Chordata; Actinopteri; Siluriformes; Ictaluridae. The record is from Ensembl.
GGCUGAGCGUCGACUCGGUGCUACUGCUGCUUCUCCCGUGUCAACAAAGUAUCGUACAAGCUCAGUGUGUGUGUGUGAGAGAGUGUGUGUGAGAGUGUGUGUGAGUGUGACACAAUGGAUACACGUUUCUACCUCAACUGGGAUUUAUAAGGAAGGAAGAAACAGGACUUUACUCUGUUUAUCGACUUAAUAUAAGACCGUGUAGUCGUUCUUGUGUUGUUUAAUCAGGUUUAUAACAGGUUUUGUACGCCUCACGAGCUCACCUUGUUUAUGCUAGUAAGCUUUGUUUUACUACUUGAUUUGGUUUUGUGUCCAUUUUAAUCCACUUCCGUGAAGUUUAUCUACCUUGUUGUGUUUUUGGAGGUUGAUUUGUGACACUAUUUUAUUGUAUGUGUUGAGAUUAUACGUCAUAACGCGUAAUAACACACUAAUGACCUACAUGUUACGCUCGAGCUUGAGUAACUCCGCGUCUAUUUCCUGUUUAUUUUCAUUAUUA